GUGGUUCACCAUAUACAUAAUUGAUGUUCUGAUGUCUGUUUACGUUGCAUAUACUCUGUAAUAAAUUAUUGUAGGCCAAGUAGUUAAUAUAAUUUAUGUAGCUCAAGAGAAAUUUGUGCUUUGCAGUUUUGUAAACUGUUUAGAAUUGAAUUAACAUUUGAGGAUGAUAAGAUUUUUUAUUUUUUUUAAACAAGUUGCAUAUGUUCACCAAGGCUGCAUUUAAUCAAACGUACAGUAAAACAGUAUUGCUGUGAAAUAUUAUUACAAUUUAUAUCACUUCUGUUUUAAUAUAUUUAAUAAUUUAAUUUAUUCCUAUGAUUUCAAAGCUGGCUUUUCAGCAAUCUUCAGUAAUACAUUUUUUUUCUUUGAUGAAUAGAAAUGUCAAAACAACAACAUUAAUUUGAAAUGGGGAUCUUUUAUAACAUUAAAAAUGAAUGAUCAAAAUAAAUAAAAAAAUAAUCAAAUUUAAUGCAUCCUUGCUCAAUACAAAGUAUUUCUUGCUUUAAAAACUUUACUGAAUCCAAACAUUUAAGUGUAGUGUAUAUGAAAAUAGUUGUCAUAUUGUCACAGGUCGGAGCGGACCACAGGUGUUGCGAGUCACGCCCCUUCCCGACUUCCACCUCGAGGAGGUCCCAAGAUCACCCCAAGGACCAGACACACAAGAUAAGUUAAGGGUAAUUUAAAACAACUUUAUUUAAAUUAUUUAAAAAGGUAAUCUAGGAAAGGAGAAAAGGGGAAUCUAAAAUUUUGAUCUUCGUCUCUUGGCAGGAGGGAACUGAGCCUGAGAACUCUGGAGGUCUUUGGUAAGUAAUCACAAGGGGAGGGGGGGGCAAAGGGCUCUUUCGUCCUUUCCCAGAACUUCUACCAGUCUCCUGACUAAUCCUAAGUCCUUCCUUAGCGGCUUGAUUUCCCGUGGCGCCCUUCUCUUCUCCUGAAGGCAACAGAACACACAAUGAGUAAUAGAUAAAACGGAGAAGAAUGCCUUGUUCCUAGCUUCUUUGCUCUUUGGGUUGCACUUCACCAGCGUCUGGACAGCUCCUCCACUCCCAUUGACCUCCUAGGUAAGUAUAAGGCGACACACAAAUCCCUGAGGGCACAGGUAAGUAACAACGGUAAGGAUGUAGCAAGGUAAGUAUUCAACAAGUGACUGUAUCUUCACGCUGGGCUUUACAGGGCGUAUUCAAGGACAAUAGCUUUUAGCUCGUACAGACAGGUAAGUAUUCAACAAGUGACUGUAUCUUCACGCUGGGCUUUACAGGGCGUAUUCAAGGACAAUAGCUUUUAGCUCGUACAGACAAGCAAGUAUUCAACAAGUGACUGUAUCUUCACGCUGGGCUUUACAGGGCGUAUUCAAGGAUAAUAGCUUUUAGCUCGUACAGACAGGUAAGUAUUCAACAAGUGACUGUAUCUUCACGCUGGGCUUUACAGGGCGUAUUCAAGGACAAUAGCUUUUCCCACAAUAUCCGCACAAUACCUUGUUUUGCUUUCGCACUUCACCUUCAAGCUGGGUCCAGAGAACGGAGUUAUAGGCGGGCGUAGGUGGAAUAGGUGGGCACCGCCACGGCAGCCUACGUUCUUUCCAACAGGAACCUUUCUCGGCCUGGAGGGCAAGUACAGACAACAGGGACACGGCACAGCACUGCAAAGCUUUAGUGCACACACGUCAAAGACAGACUCACCCACUGCACUACACACACUUCAGUGAUUUUUAAGGUCGGUACUCCACACCCGGUCGGAUUUCGUCCUGGAGGAAUUUGCAGUCGCUGUCACGGUAAGUGUUCCAAACUUUACGGUGUGGCCACAGCCAAAUAACAUCCAUUCACCCACGCUCUACUUCGGCUCACCCACUCGUCUCGUCCUCCAACGAUGGGGCCGCUCAACAAGCUGUUAAUCACUCCAACAGGUAUUGGUUAUCCACAUCCAAGUAUGAGCAAGGAAUAUGUAAACAAUCCAAUGUACUCACAAUCUUCGUGAUACUGGUCCUCUCCCGCUCUCUUUCUCAUCCAGAUAUACACAACAAUCUAAGCAAUCCAAUGUACUCACAGUCUUCGUAAUACUGGUCUCCUCCCGCUCUCUUUCUCUCCCCAGCUUCGUGCAGACGCCCAGAAAGGUCGUCGUUGUUCCACAAUGUCACUAUUUCUCUACGGCACCUUCGUACAACAGACACGAGUGAGUACGACUUCUCUCCAUCAACUUCACUUUGGCAAACCUGUUCCAGUGGCCGUUUUCAAAUCCUCCAAUUCGCUUAGCGACUCCACAAUUACUCUCAUCUGCUUCGCCCUACUCCAGCGCCCAAACACUCCGUCCCACUCGUGGCGUUCCUUGGGAGGCCAAAAACAACACACCUUCCUGUAUCCUCGAUGCCCUCUUUAUACCCAUGAACUGCCCUGUCUGCAAUCGCCACAUCAUUGGACACACCUGCUGCAGAUUUCCCUUGAUUUGGAGCGUUCGGGGUUUUCCCGGAAGUGACAAGGGCUUACACAUUUCCGGUCCGGGCGGAACUUCUCCUCUCACUUUGGUUCCGCCCUCAAAGUCACUUCGUGACAAUAUACUUCAAAAUAUUUUAAUAAAAAGUAUAUAAAAG
Long non-coding RNA from Cyprinus carpio carpio, 2584 nucleotides. NCBI's taxonomy places the organism in Eukaryota, Metazoa, Chordata, Actinopteri, Cypriniformes, Cyprinidae. The record is from Ensembl.